AAGAUUAUAGUUAAUUAUAACAUUUAAUUUGCAAUUAAAAAGUAUUGAAUUUAUUCAGUUUUUCUUA
Molecule: transfer RNA, 67 nt
Filed under: Stenopsocus aphidiformis
Lineage: Eukaryota; Metazoa; Arthropoda; Insecta; Psocodea; Stenopsocidae
Also listed under: 3 other names
Description: tRNA-Ala
Source: RNAcentral